GGAACGCAGAUGGUAGAGGAGACUGACGGGCAUUCAUUCUGUCAUCAGUUUGCAUUACAAUAGAACGUACUCGUAGAUCUGUGGCAGCUGGAGUCCGUAGCCUACAAGCGCUCGCAUACAAAAUACAGACAUCUGUGGGUUAAUUCCUCGUGCCAUCCAAACACUCCUUUGUCCAGGCUUCAGUCUUGUUAUUUACUCUCCAUAAUUAACCGCCCAUCAGAGGCAGCUGCUCGGCACUCACCCGACCUCUCUGCUCAAGGCAAACUGACGCACUCCACGGGUAAAUUGGAAUAGGUUUUUGUGCGCUGCGCAUCACAAAACCAUUGAUGAUAAAGAUUCGCUUUUCAUUCAGAAUAUCUAUACUAUAUAUCACUGACAAUUUUGUACAUCGCUCAUUCUAUCCGAAGAGGAUUAGAGUCGGACACAGUUGGAGCUCUUUAUCGCGCCACCCUUGCUGACACAGAUGGUGCGAGACAGGUGCAUUUUGGACCAAUGGUCAAACUUGCAUCAAUGCAAAAGUGGCCAAACCCACAGCCCAGCUGGCAGGACGCACGUCCCCAUGACAACUGGGAUUCCCUGGGGUCCCUGAUGGACUGAUGAAUACAGGAGUAGGGAGACAGGUAUGCGUCCAGUAUAUCCACACAUAUUGAAGGGGUUCUUCUAAAGACAGAGGAUUAACCACUGGUGGUAAUGAUGUCUUGUAGGCUCCAUUCCUCCAUGAAAUUUGUAUUGACUAUUGUUUGUAUUAGGGGAGCUACCUUAGCAAGAUAUUCAUUUCAAUUAGGUCAGUUUAAGGUAAAACAUUUCAAAUAAGAUUAAAAAAAGGUUAAUCAAGUCAGUUAGUAACUGUUCCUAAUCACCUAUGAUUCUGGGAACUUUAUUUACCCUUCCCUCCUGCAUCCAAUGGUAUUUUUUGGCAGUAGUCAAGUCCAACGGUCCAGCCUCUGCUUGGUAGGGUUUUGGGGGCAGGUGUUCCAGGGGGUUGCGUUCCACUUUCUGCUGCUCGCUGCUCUGUGUUUCUCUCCAGAUAUGCUGAGGAGGAUACUGAGAUGGUGCCAGCCCUCAGAGGCCAUUUAGACGAGUCAACAACAUGACCAGACUGACAGAGCUGUCUACAAAGCUGUUUUCUAAACAGUUGUCAACGCGGUUCAUCCUUACCGAAUUGGAACUGGGACGGGAACUGGGACCUAUGGCUUUCACCCACUGACGAAUGAGCAUUACUACAAGGCUACUGACGGAGCUCACUUCUUUUGCUAUCGAUUUGUGUUAGAAGGAGACCUUGCAGUGAUUAUUAUUGUUAAUAUUAUUAUUUGAAGUACCAUUGGCACGUUGCUGGACCCUUUAAUUGUAGUCUAUUUUAUGCGGACGUCAUUCAGGACGUCAUUCAAGACCACAUUUCAUGCCAUAAGAAAUACCCAUAAAGGGUGGGGUUUUAGUGUUGUCUGAUGCUUUGGCGCUUUCUUUUCCUUAAAUAUUGUUUACCUGAGGGAGCUCUCUCCCCUUCUCUGUAAAAUAACACAUUAUCAUCCCCUUCCACACUGUUCAGCUGAUCAAAGCAGAGAGAGACUAACACCUCUCUCUGAUGCCUGCUUCUCCUCAUGCUGUCAGCACCUUUCUCUUCUCGGUAACCUUGGCAACACUUUUAACACCUUACUUCAAUCUACCUCUGAUGUCUAACAUGAAUAACAAGGUUGAGUCUGCUGAGAUGGCCUUCCUGCUAAUUUAAUUGAUGCGCUCCUAAAGGCGUCAGCAUGCUUCAGUUUGGCUGACGGCUUCCGAAGUCGGCUAGGCAAACCGAACAAGUGUGCUUGCAUCCUCCCUUAAAAGACCUUCACUUGGAAAACAAUAAAAAAGCGGCAAUAGUACCGAUUGUCCAUUUUGACAUGCCGUAGCCAGUAUAAACUUCCUCAAAAUAUUCAGAAUGAAUCUAAGAUAACUCAAGAAAUCUGUUAUAAAAUUUGACGUUUUUGCGGAGGAGAUCUUAGUCGCGCAAUUUUAUGUCUAACUGAUAUGUUUGGUGCAGUAUUUCUCAAUGAAAACAUUUGCAUGAAAACAUGUCGUCUCUCGUUGAAUUACAACAAAGACUUUAUUGAAGAAUCCCUAAUGUUGACCAAUCACCAACGAAGGAGCGUAGAUUUCGGCUACCGACUUCGGCUUGCCACUAGAAAAAAUGUGUGCUCGAACAGCCGAAAAAACCCUUACCAAAGUCCAGAACGAACAAAAACGUCACAAAAUGAUGUCAUAAUAUAUGCACAAAUUCUAUUGAACUGUUUUGGCUGGGAAGUAUGCGGAUGUCUUAACCCAGCUGACAUACCCAUACCAUUCCAGCAGCUAAUGCUUGUUAUCAUUAGUCUACUCUAACGUUACAGGAAUGUUAUGAGGAUGUUACGACUUUAAUAGGGUUGUGUCAGUGUUUGUGUCAGUGUUUGGAUGGUCUCCCGAGGCAUGGUUUGUCUUGUGAUUGCUGCAUGUACUGGAACUCCCAAUAACCUCAGCUAGAGUCAUAUAGAACUAACCAACACCAGAGUAAUCCUGGUUUGCUAACCUGGACUAACAAUCUAACAGUCACUAAUCAAGCUAAUCAACCAAACUAAAACCCAAGCCCCGUUGAGGGGAGGACAGCUCAUAUGAAAGUCCAGAACGGAGCAAAUGGAAUGGUAUCAAACACAUGGAAACCAUAUAUUUGAUGUAUUUGAUACCAGUCUAUUCAUUCCGCUCCAGCCAUGAGCCCGUCCUCCCAAUUGAAGAUGCCAACAAAGUCCUGUGGUGUAGGUGUACAUUUUGAGUUUAAGAGUGGGGGUCUUAGAGUAAUUAAUUUCCUUACCCCCUGAAACCAAACCAUCAGCUCUCUUGGCAUUCCUUAAUAAAUACACUAACAAAUACCCUCUAAUACCUAACAGUACUAAUGUCUGGUAACAGAUAUUUUGUUACUUAUACUAACCUGUACUAUACUAACUUGUACCUCUCCCAUUUUCCUGAAACCCUUCUUCCACCAGACACAGAUCACCCAAAAUCAUAUACAAUAACUAUGUAUUUAUGUAUCUGUUAUACCCUUAAGCUCAGUAUGUUGCUUGUUGAGACGUUUUACUUUUGGCCCCUAAAACAACGGUGAGAAUGAUUCCAGGAUCUGGGAUGGGAAGCUGGAUUAACCAAUAGAUUUAAAGACAAAGCGCACCUACCUACCUGUAGCUCACUGGGUUGACCACACACUUCUGCUCAGGGGGACGCCUAAAAACAUGUUACAAAUGUUUCAGUAACUAUGUUAAAGAAUUGUAUUAUUUUUGUAAAAAGUGUUCCAGUUUAACAUAAUGGCUGACAAAUGUUUGUCCCCCUUUCUAUUGUGUGGCCAACCCCUAAAAGGUGUUGCAGCUCAGUGCUUGGUUUGUAGCCUGCAUAGACACAUGUGUACUCUCUUAUUAGAUAAACCAAAGCAAAUAGCAACCCUUACCUGCUUUACUACUAACUGAGUGGUGACUGGUACUAACAACAACCCUGGACGAGGCCUAACAAUUUGGCCAUUGAUUUCUUGCUCUUACUAACAUACUGUAUCUUCUCUAAGACUAACGUGUGGCGCUUCUUUCAAUGCUGUCUAACCAUGCUGCGACCAACUUAUCAUCCAUCACUUCACCCUGCAGUAUCUUUUCUUUACUUCCUGAGUCGUCAUGAGGAUAGACAUCCCUGUGUCCUUGAUCGUGUGACACUUCAAUAACCUGCACUAGAGUGAGAAAGCACUAACUAUUGGGGCAUGAAACAGCUUCCCAGAAACUAACAAACUAACUAACCUACUAAUUAACUAAUUAUCUAACAAACUAACUGAAAUGACUAAUGUUGUGCUGAGAGUUAUCAGGUUUUGAGGUUUUGGUUCAGCAAGCCAUCCCCCUCUCUAGUGUGUGUGUGUGUGUGUACGUGUGCAUGUAUUGUAUGCUGCAACUAGCUCUCACAGUCUCACGUCAGAAUUAGACGUUCAUCCAUGUUUCUUAAACAUCACAUUUCAAAUUUCUUCCAAACUUCAAAUUUCAAAGUGUUUAAAGGUUAAGGUUAGGAAUAGGCUUAAAACAAAAAUCUCUAAAACAACUUCAUAUUGAGGGAUUUGAACAUGCAACCUUUGUGACACGAGGCAGAUGCCAUUUGCCAUCUGCCAAAACUGAAACCUACUUGAAUCUAACAGCGCUCACUGUUGCCCCUAGAGGCCAGUUUCCACAUCAUCUCCCGAUGUCCUCAGACAUGGAAGGACGUUGAAUACUGACUUGUAUCAAGGGUGACCUGGCUAGCAGACCUGUGGUUAUUAAUACUAACCUGUACUGUGGAUGAUGUUGGCUGGGCUUGUAAUUUCAAACACAUUAACAUUAACUACUCUUUGCUUUGUGCACAGAGUCUGAGACAGAAUCUUUUCCCAUUUUCCUGAAACCUUUCUUCCACCAGACACACAUCACCCAAAAUCAUAUACAAUAACUGUGUAUUUAUCUAUCUGUUAUAACCUUAAGCUCAUUAUGUUGCUUGUUGAGAAAUGUUACUUUUGGCCCCUAAAGCGCAACGGUGAGAAUGAUUCCAGGAUCUGGGAUGGGAAGCUGGAUUAACCAAUAGAUUUAAAGACAAAGCGCACCUACCUACCUGUAGCUCACUGGGUUGACCACACACUUCUGCUCAGGGGGGACGCAUACAAACAAAAUCUUUGUUACAAAUGUUUCAGUAACUAUGCUAAAGAUGAUUAUUUUUGAAGUUGUCCAUCUUAAUAGUUUAACAAAUAAUGGCUGACAAAUGUUUGUACCCUUGUCCAUUGUGUGGCCAACCUCUAAAAGCUCAGUGCUUGGUUUGUAGCCUGCAUAGACACUGAUGUGUACUCUCUUAUUAGAUAAACCAAAGCAAAUAGCAACCCUUACCUGCUUUACUACUAACUGAGUGGUGACUGGUACUAACAACCCCAGAUGAGGCCUAAGAAUUUGGCCAUUGAUUCUUUGCUCUUACGCAGGUUGACGUUUAUUGUCAUGAGUCUUGUCCUGGAGGCAGAACUGAGCGAUUUCCCCUUAGAUAAGCCAGCUGCAAAGUCAAAAUUGUCUAUAUUGUAAAAAUAAACGUUUUUGCUUUUUGGUCAUUAGCACUAACAGUGUGGGUAAGGAAAGGUUUAACAUCAGAUUUCAUGACUUUGUGGUUGUGCUACCUAGUGACCACUCUGCAGAGCGGACUCCAGAACAACAUUCAUGACGAAAAACACUAACCUGCUGCUCUUACUAACAUGCUGUAUCUUCUCUCAGACUAACAUGUGUCGCUUCUUUCAAUGCUGUCUAAGCAUGCUGCGACCAACUUAUCACGCAUCACUUCACCCUGCCCCUUGGUGAGAUCAAACAGCGUCUAGUAGGCCAUGCUGUAGCUUUUCUUUACUUCCUGAGUUGUCAUGAGGAUAAACAUCCCUGUGUCCUUGAUCGUGUGACACUUUACUAACCUGCACUGGAGUGAGAAAGCACUAACUAUUGGGGCAUGAAACAGCUUCCCACAAACAAACUAACAAACUAACUAACCUACUAAUUAACUAAUUAUCUAACAAACUAACUGAAAUGACUAAUGUUGUGCUGAGAGUUAUCAGGUUUUGAGGUUUUGGUUCAGCAAGCCAUCCCCCCGUGUGUGUGUGUGUGUGUGUGUGUGUGUGUGUGUGUGUGUGUGUGUGUGUGUGUGUGUACAUUGAUUCUCAAACUGUGUGUAUGAUGCCGUCAUUGUUUUUGUCUGAAUGAGUGUUAAGGAUUCAGCAUGCUUCAGUUCGGCUGGCGCCUAGAACCGAAUGAGUGUGCUCGCAUACUCACUUAAAAGACCUUUGCUUGAAAACUUUAAAAAGCAGCAAUAGUACUGUUUGUCAAUUUGAGGUGCCAUAGCCAGUACACACUUCCUUAAAAUAGUCGGAAUUAAUCGAAGAUAAUUCAAGAAAUCUGUCAUUAAUUUAGACUUUUUUGCAGAGGAGAUCUUAGUCAUGCAAUUUUACAUCGAAGAUUUUUGGUGCAGUAUUUCUCAAUGAAUACAUGUGCAUGAAAACGAGUCGUCUAUGAUUAAAUAACAAUAAAGACUUUAUUGAAGAAACCCUACGGUUGACCAAUCACUGAUGAAUGGGGGUUAACUUUGUCUCAGAACUUCGGCUUGCCUCUAGAAUUUUUUGGAUGUGUCAGAACAGCCGAAAAACCCCCAACGAAGUCCAAAACGAACAAAAACGUCACAUAAAGUCUUCAUAAUAUAUGCACAAACUCUUCCGAGCUGUUUCGGCUGGGAAGCAUGCGGACGCCUUAAGUGUGUAUGUUUUUCUGUCAGUUUUUUCUACAGAGUAACGUAAUGCUAUAGCAAUAUUGUCUUCACCCACUAUUUACACAAAUGACUGAUGAUUGGCUGAGAGAAAUUGAUGAUAAAAUGAUUGUAGAUUCUGUUUUGUUAGACUUCAGUGCGGCUUUUGACAUUAUCGAUCAUAGUCUGCUGCUGGAAAAACGUAUGUGUUAUGGCUUUACAACCCCUGCUAUAUCGUGGAUAAAUAGUUACCUAUCUAACAGAACACAGAGGGUGUUUUAAUGGAAGCCUCUCAAGCAUAAUCCAGGUAGAAUCAGGAAUUCCCCAGGGUGGCCCGUUACUUUUUUCAAUCUUUAGUAACGACAUGCCACUGGCUUUACUCAAUUGCGGAUGACUCAAGACUAUACACGUCAGCUACUACAGCGACUGAAAUGACUGCAACACUUAACAAAGAGCUGCAGUUAGUUUCAGGAUGGGUGGCAAGGAAUAAGAUCGUCCUAUAUUUUUCUUAAACUUAAAGCAUUGUAUUUGGGACAAAUCAUUCACUAAACCCUAAACCUCAACUAAAUCUUGUAAUAAAUAAUGUGGAAAUUGAGCAAGUUGAGGUGACCUAACUGCUUGGAGUAACCCUGGAUUGUAAACUGUCAUGGUCAAAACAUAUUGAUAGAACAGAAGCUAAGAUGGGGAAACGUCUGUCCAUAACAAACCGUUGCUCUGCCUUCUUAAUAACAACACUAUCAACAAGGCAGGUCCUACAUGCCUUAGUUUGUCGCACUUGGACUACUGUUCAGUCGUGUGGUCAGGUGCCACAGAGAGGGACUUAGGAAAAUGACAAUUGGCUCAGAACAGGGCAGCAUGGCUGGCCCUUGGAUGUACACAGAGAGCUAACAUUAAUAAUAUGCAUGUCAAUCUCUCCUGGCUCAAAGUGGAGAUUGACUACACCACUACUUGUAUUUGUGAGGGGUAUUGACAUGUUGAAUGCACCGAGCUGUCUGUUUGAACUAAUGGAGCACAGCUCGGACACAGUUCGGACACCCAUGUACAAGACAUGCCACAAGAGGUCUCUUCAGAGACCCCAAGUCCAGAACAGACUAUGGGAGGUGCACAAUACUACAUAGAGCCAUGACUACAUGGAACUCUAUUCAACAUCAAGUAACUGAUGGAAGUAGUAAAAUUUGAUGUAAAAAACAGAUAAAGUUCACCUUAUGGAACAGCAGGGACUGUGAAGCAACACAAACAUAGGCACAUACACUUGCAUACACACACACAAUAACAUACGCACUAUAUACACACACAUAAACAGGGACUUUGUAUUGUAGAUAUGUGGUAGGGGAGUAGGAGCCUGAGGGCACACAGUAUGUUGAGAAAUCUGUUGUGAAUGUAUUGUAAUGUUUUUAAAAUUGUAUAACUACAUUCAUUUUGCUGGACUCCAGGAAGAGUAGCUGCUGUUUGGCAGCAGCUAAUGGGGAUUAAUAGUAAAUACAAAUGCACAUUUAGAACUGAUUUAGCCAAAAAUAAGACCACAUUUAUUAUACAGACUCAACUGUCAAAGGUGGGUUCUAUUCUUGGAUAAAGACAAGCUUCUUACAGCUAGACAAUCAAUUUGUGUGAUCAAACUAUGAAGCAGUUUUGCUUUGGAGGACCUAGUGUCUUUCAGAGUAGCUUCAAUCAAAAGAGUCACUAGUCAACACAGUGUCUAAGUGGUCUUGAUCCUUGUCCUUUGUGUGGUGGCACUACAGAUUUAUUCACAAAAUAUAGCUGGGAUGUUGAAAAAGUGAUAAUAGCCUUACUAUCUUUUAUUUCAUGUGCUGUAUUGAUAAAACAUAUUUACCAUGCCCUUUUCUCUGUUGAAUAAACUGUUACUUAUUUAAAAAAAAGUA
Molecule: RNA transcript, 8141 nt
Organism: Salmo salar (Atlantic salmon)
Lineage: Eukaryota; Metazoa; Chordata; Actinopteri; Salmoniformes; Salmonidae
Source: RefSeq, a predicted model, not a curated record